GACGAACGCUGGCGGCGUGCUUAACACAUGCAAGUCGAACGGAAAGGCCGUGCCUUGGUUCGGUGCUCGAGUGGCGAACGGGUGAGUAACACGUGAGUAACCUGCCCGGGAGUGGGGGAUAACUUCUGGAAACGGUAGCUAAUACCGGAUAGGAGCUCCUGCUGCAUGGCGUUGGCUGGAAAGUUUCGGCGGUUGGGGUUGGACUCGCGGCUUCUCAGCUUGUGGGUGGGGUAGUGGAAUAGCAAGGCUUUGACGGGUAGCCGGCCUGAGAGGGUGACCGGCCACAUAGGGACUGAGAUACGGCCAAGACUGCUACGGGAGGCAGCAGUGGAGAAUAUUGCACAAUGGGCGGAAGCCGGAUGCAGCAACGCCGGGUGCGGGAUGACGGCUUUCGGGUUGUAAACCGCUUUAGACUGUGACGAAGAGUGAGUGACGGUAAUGUGUAAAGAAGCACCGGCUAACUACGUG
Molecule: ribosomal RNA, 468 nt
Filed under: uncultured bacterium
Lineage: Bacteria
Description: partial 16S ribosomal RNA
Rfam family: Bacterial small subunit ribosomal RNA
Source: RNAcentral